AUACUAGGGGUGCAAGCGUUGUCCGGAAUCAUUGGGCGUAAAGGGUGCGUAGGCGUCCGAGAAAGUUAUUUGUUAAAUCCUCCGGCUUAACCGGAGACCUGCAAGUAAAACUACUUGGAUAGAGUUUAAGAGAGGAAAAUGGAAUUCCUGGUGUAGCGGUGACAUGCGUACAUAUCAGGAGGAACAUCUAUGGCGAAGGCAGUUUUCUGGCUUAAAACUGACGCUGAGGCACGAAAGCAUGGGGAGCAAACAGGAUUAGAUACCCUGGUAGUCCAUGCCGUAAACGAUGAGUACUUAGUGUCGGGGGAUUCGACCCCCUCGGUGCUGUAGCUAACGCGUUAAGUACUCCGCCUGGGGACUACGACCGCAAGGUUGAA
RNAcentral lists this ribosomal RNA (377 nucleotides) under uncultured bacterium. RNAcentral's name for it is "bacterial SSU rRNA". It matches the Rfam family "Bacterial small subunit ribosomal RNA", at positions 523 to 898 of the family's 1533-position model. The record is from RNAcentral.